AGUGAACGCUGGCGGUAGGCCUAACACAUGCAAGUCGAACGGCAGCACAGUAAGAGCUUGCUCUUACGGGUGGCGAGUGGCGGACGGGUGAGGAAUACAUCGGAAUCUACUUUUUCGUGGGGGAUAACGUAGGGAAACUUACGCCAAUACCGCAUACGACCUACGGGUGAAAGCAGGGGAUCUUCGGACCUUGCGCGAUUGAAUGAGCCGAUGUCGGAUUAGCUAGUUGGGGGGGUAAAGGCCCACCAAGGCGACGAUCCGUAGCUGGUCUGAGAGGAUGAUCAGCCACACUGGAACUGAGACACGGUCCAGACUCCUACGGGAGGCAGCAGUGGGGAAUAUUGGACAAUGGGCGCAAGCCUGAUCCAGCCAUACCGCGUGGGUGAAGAAGGCCUUCGGGUUGUAAAGCCCUUUUGUUGGGAAAGAAAAGCAGCAGGUUAAUACCCCGCUGUUCUGACGGUACCCAAAGAAUAAGCACCGGCUAACUUCGUG
This 492-nucleotide ribosomal RNA is filed under the name uncultured bacterium. RNAcentral's name for it is "partial 16S ribosomal RNA". It matches the Rfam family "Bacterial small subunit ribosomal RNA", at positions 29 to 507 of the family's 1533-position model. The record is from RNAcentral.